This is a non-coding RNA of Ameiurus melas (black bullhead), 75 nucleotides long. The record is from the annotation of a GenBank genome assembly. NCBI's taxonomy places the organism in Eukaryota, Metazoa, Chordata, Actinopteri, Siluriformes, Ictaluridae.
GGCAGUGGUGGCUUAGUGGUUUUAGGCUCUGGGUUGCUGAUCAGAAGGUCAUGAGUUCAAGUCGAAGCACUGCCA